GGUCCCUCCCACAAUACAUGGGAAUUAUGGGAGUAAAAUUCAAGAUGAAAUUUGGGUGGGGACACAGAGCCAAACCAUAUCAAUAUCCAAAACAAAAGACAUAUUGAAGAUAUAUCUAUACUCCCAUAUUUAUUGCAGCGCUAUUCACAUAGCCAAAACAUGAAAUCAACCUAAGUGUCCAUCAAUGGGUGAAUGAAUAAAGAAAAUGUGGUAUAUAUACACAAUGGAAUAUUAUUCUGCCAUAAAAAGGUUGAAAUCAUGUUAUCUGCAGCAAGAUGGAUGGAACUGGAGGUGAUGUUAAGUGAAAUAAGCCAAACACAGAAAGACAAAUAUCACAUGUUCUCAUUCCUAUGUAGGAGCUAAAAAAGUGGAUCUCAUGAAGAUAGAGAGUAGAUUGGUAGUUACCAGAGGCCAAGAAGGGUAGGGGGAAAUGAAGAGAGGUUGAUUAAUGGGUACAAACAUACAGUUUGAUAAAAGAAACAAGACCUAGUGUUUGAUAGGUCAGUAGAAUGCCUAUAGUUUACAAUAAUUUACUGUGUAUUUCAAAAUCACUAGAAUAAUUCAAAUGUUUCUACCAUAAAGACAAAUAUUUAAUGUGACAGAUAUCCCAGUUACACAGAUUUGCUCCUUAUAAUUACACAAAUGUAUUACAUUAUCACAUGGACCCUCAAAAUAUGCACAUCACUAUGUAUCAAUCAAAAAUUAAAAUUAAAAAACCCUAAAACUGAAAUUUUCUGCAGCUCAAAGUUCUAGAAGCAUGUUAAAAUACAGAACAUGUGUAAGUCUUCCUAAGUUGCCUCAGAACCAGUGAUUUCAUUUAUGUCGGAGGGUGUGUGUGCGGGUCUAGAAUGCAAUACAAAGCUGUUAGUGUGGCAGUGAAUUCUCAGUUACUGGAGAUCAACUUUAGAACACCCAGAGGCACCUAGCAAAGGUCUGUUUUCAGAAGAGUGUGUGUGGGGUGGGGGAGUAAUGGGGGCACAGCUCUGAAGUGAAGAUGCAACUUCCAACAAAUGAAUGCCAAAGUGUGAAAAGUUCUUGAGAAUGAUCUCCAGCCAACUCCUAUUGGCUGGUGGACUCUAUAAAAGGUCUACAAAAAUAUACCUUUUUAGGGUAUCUGCUUACCACCUGAGUAAGUAAAAGUUGAGAGACAUGAGCAAAGCAACCUAAGGAUGCAAGAAGGGCCUUACAGGGAGGAGGGAUGGGGAUGGGAGCAGGCCUGAGAAUGGCUGCAAGCUGACCAAGUGGAAGCUUUGAGCACCACACAUCCCAGCAGCCUUGAGAAGCAGGUAGGCAAGUCUCCUCAUACCAGCAAGGAGGCGCUCGUAGCAUUAAGAACGUUGUCUGAGGAAGUUCCGGCUUCUCCAAUAACCCCCUGAGGGAUGUAGGGGUGGAGCUGUGUGGUGUAAGCCCAGCACCACCUGAGCCACAAGGGAGCUGUGGACCAUCUUCCAGAGUCUCAAUUUUCUAAACUCAUUUGAUGGGUGAUAAUCUUAAAACAUUUUCUCUUAAACAAGCAGUAGCUUAUAGAGUAGGAAAUAAAAUUCAUACAAAAUUAUCUGUAAAGACACAAAACGAGAGAAAUAUGACUUUUGCUCUCCUGGCCACUCUGAGCUGGAUCCCAGACCCCAGGAGACAGAAGGGACUCUGCUUUGAAUGCUAUGACCUGACUCCUGGCCCUGCAUAUGGUGAGGAGGAGGGAGAUGGGAAGACGUUCGAAUGGUCUGGGGCAGGCUGGGAACAGAGUAGCAGAUCUUCUGAUAUCAGAGGCUAGAGCCAUUAAGAGACAGAAGCUAGGGGCAGCCUGUCUUUGGGGAGGAAGCCACCGACACCCAGCAUCUCUUCAGAAGGGUUCACAGUUGUCUGGACUCAAGCAGCUUGCAGGACCAGGUGCCUUAAUUCUCUGUCCCUCACUACUGGCAUCCACAGAGAGGUCUCCGCCUAGCAGCAG
RNAcentral lists this long non-coding RNA (1948 nucleotides) under Homo sapiens (human). Its description in RNAcentral is "HSALNT0035084". Lineage: Eukaryota; Metazoa; Chordata; Mammalia; Primates; Hominidae. The record is from RNAcentral.